CAGUCGCCGCGGGAAAACGGAGGGUGCAAGCGUUAAUCGGAAUUACUGGGCGUAAAGCGCACGCAGGCGGUCUGUUAAGUCAGAUGUGAAAUCCCCGGGCUUAACCUGGGAACUGCAUUUGAAACUGGCAGGCUUGAGUCUUGUAGAGGGGGGUAGAAUUCCAGGUGUAGCGGUGAAAUGCGUAGAGAUCUGGAGGAAUACCGGUGGCGGAGGCGGCCCCCUGGACAAAGACUGACGCUCAGGUGCGAAAGCGUGGGGAGCAAACAGGAUUAGAUACCCCGGUAGUCCCUGUCUCUUAUAC
RNAcentral lists this ribosomal RNA (301 nucleotides) under uncultured bacterium. RNAcentral's name for it is "partial 16S ribosomal RNA". It matches the Rfam family "Bacterial small subunit ribosomal RNA", at positions 509 to 807 of the family's 1533-position model. The record is from RNAcentral.